This 789-nucleotide ribosomal RNA is filed under the name Leotiomycetes sp. RNAcentral's name for it is "eukaryotic LSU rRNA". The stretch from base 337 to 789 matches the Rfam family "Eukaryotic large subunit ribosomal RNA", at positions 1 to 456 of the family's 3401-position model. Lineage: Eukaryota; Fungi; Ascomycota; Leotiomycetes. The record is from RNAcentral.
GUUAGUGAUGUCUGAGUACUAUAUAAUAGUUAAAACUUUCAACAACGGAUCUCUUGGUUCUGGCAUCGAUGAAGAACGCAGCGAAAUGCGAUAAGUAAUGUGAAUUGCAGAAUUCAGUGAAUCAUCGAAUCUUUGAACGCACAUUGCGCCCGGUGGUAUUCCGCCGGGCAUGCCUGUUCGAGCGUCAUUAUAACCAAUCAUGCCUGGCAUGGUGUUGGGGCACGCGGUCUCGCGGCCCUCAAAAUCAGUGGCGGUGCCGGUAGGCUCUAAGCGUAGUAAUUCUUCUCGCUACAGGGUCCUGCGGGUGGCUUGCCAGAACCCCCCAUUUUUUCAGGUUGACCUCGGAUCAGGUAGGGAUACCCGCUGAACUUAAGCAUAUCAAUAAGCGGAGGAAAAGAAACCAACAGGGAUUACCUCAGUAACGGCGAGUGAAGCGGUAACAGCUCAAAUUUGAAAGCUCCCCUCAGGGCGCAUUGUAAUUUGUAGAGGAUGCUUUGGGGGUCGGCCCGGUUUAAGUUCCUUGGAACAGGACGUCAUAGAGGGUGAGAAUCCCGUAUGUGACCGGUGCUAGCCUUCGUGUAAAGCUCCUUCGACGAGUCGAGUUGUUUGGGAAUGCAGCUCAAAAUGGGUGGUAUAUUUCAUCUAAAGCUAAAUAUUGGCCAGAGACCGAUAGCGCACAAGUAGAGUGAUCGAAAGAUGAAAAGCACUUUGGAAAGAGAGUUAAACAGUACGUGAAAUUGUUGAAAGGGAAGCGCUUGCAAUCAGACUUGCGGGCGGUCGAUCAUCCGA